Long non-coding RNA from Carya illinoinensis, 227 nucleotides. RefSeq lists it as uncharacterized. The record is from RefSeq and is a predicted model, not a curated record. Lineage: Eukaryota; Viridiplantae; Streptophyta; Magnoliopsida; Fagales; Juglandaceae. The transcript has 3 exons.
UCCAGUCUCCUCGGCUUGCUUUUCUCGGAUCCCAAUUGCUACCGCGAUUUCUUUGAAAAUUCGACGCUUGACCCCGCCUCGCCUCGGAGGUAGACUCUGAUUCUUUGCGUUCUUCGCUUUCGGCUCUUCGAUCAUCAUUUUCUUCAAGUCUGUAUCCAUAGCGUCGAAGCUAGCGAGAGAGAGAGAGAGAGAGACACAGAGAGAGAGAGAGAGAGAGAGAGAGAGAG